Molecule: ribosomal RNA, 653 nt
Filed under: uncultured bacterium
Lineage: Bacteria
Description: bacterial SSU rRNA
Rfam family: Bacterial small subunit ribosomal RNA
Source: RNAcentral
GCCUGAUCCAGCAAUGCCGCGUGAGUGAAGAAGGCCUUCGGGUUGUAAAGCUCUUUUGUCAGGGAAGAAACGGUCUCGGCUAAUAUCCGGGGCUAAUGACGGUACCUGAAGAAUAAGCACCGGCUAACUACGUGCCAGCAGCCGCGGUAAUACGUAGGGUGCAAGCGUUAAUCGGAAUUACUGGGCGUAAAGCGUGCGCAGGCGGUUUUGUAAGUCUGACGUGAAAUCCCCGGGCUCAACCUGGGAAUUGCGUUGGAGACUGCAAGGCUGGAGUCUGGCAGAGGGGGGUAGAAUUCCACGUGUAGCAGUGAAAUGCGUAGAGAUGUGGAGGAACACCGAUGGCGAAGGCAGCCCCCUGGGUCAAGACUGACGCUCAUGCACGAAAGCGUGGGGAGCAAACAGGAUUAGAUACCCUGGUAGUCCACGCCCUAAACGAUGUCUACUAGUUGUCGGGUUUUAAUUAACUUGGUAACGCAGCUAACGCGUGAAGUAGACCGCCUGGGGAGUACGGUCGCAAGAUUAAAACUCAAAGGAAUUGACGGGGACCCGCACAAGCGGUGGAUGAUGUGGAUUAAUUCGAUGCAACGCGAAAAACCUUACCUACCCUUGACAUGUCAGGAACCUCCGAGAGAUUGGAGGGUGCCCGAAAGGGA